CUAGCCGUAAACGAUGGUCACUAGGUGUGGGGGAAUAUUUCCUCCGUGCCGCAGCCAACGCAUUAAGUGACCCGCCUGGGGAGUACGGCCGCAAGGCUAAAACUCAAAGGAAUUGACGGGGGCCCGCACAAGCAGCGGAGCAUGUGGCUUAAUUCGAAGCAACGCGAAGAACCUUACCAGGGCUUGACAUGCAAGUGAAGCGGCGGAAACGUCGUGGCCGAGAGGAGCUUGCGCAGGUGG
This 240-nucleotide ribosomal RNA is filed under the name uncultured bacterium. Its description in RNAcentral is "partial 16S ribosomal RNA". It matches the Rfam family "Bacterial small subunit ribosomal RNA", at positions 796 to 1041 of the family's 1533-position model. The record is from RNAcentral.